CCUACGGGAGGCAGCAGUAGGGAAUCUUCCACAAUGGACGAAAGUCUGAUGGAGCAACGCCGCGUGAGUGAAGAAGGGUUUCGGCUCGUAAAGCCCUGUUGGUAGUGAAGAAAGAUAGAGGUAGUAACUGGCCUCUAUUCGACGGUAAUUACUUAGAAAGUCACGGCUAACUACGUGCCAGCAGCCGCGGUAAUACGUAGGUGGCAAGCGUUGUCCGGAUUUAUUGGGCGUAAAGCGAGUGCAGGCGGUUCGAUAAGUCUGAUGUGAAAGCCUUCGGCUCAACCGGAGAAUUGCAUGAGAAACUGAUGGACAUGAGUGCGAAAGGGGAGAGUGAGACUCGAUGUGUAGCGGAGGAAUGCGUAGGUAUAUGGUAGAACACCAGUAGCGAAGGAGGCUCUAUGGUCUGCAACUGGCGCUGAGGCUCGGCAGCAUGGGUAGCGAGCAGGAUGAGAUACCCUUGUGGUC
RNAcentral lists this ribosomal RNA (465 nucleotides) under uncultured bacterium. Its description in RNAcentral is "partial 16S ribosomal RNA". It matches the Rfam family "Bacterial small subunit ribosomal RNA", at positions 338 to 795 of the family's 1533-position model. The record is from RNAcentral.